UGGGCUCGGCCGCUGCAGCGACCGUCGCUCCGUGCCGGCACUGACCUCUAGUGGUACCGGCACCGGCACCGGCACCGGCGCAGACAGCGGUACCGACAGCGGGAAGGACAGCGCCAAGAUACCUGUCCCGGGAGGAUGGGUAAGGACGGCAGAGAUCCUGCUCGGCGCCGCAGUCAGUGGACAGAGACAGCCCCGGGGAGCACCUGGGGCUGCUCCUGCCCACACAUCCCUCCUUCCUGGACUGCUGGAGGAGCUGAGGGAUGGAGCUUCUGACUGCGAGUCUGGAUGUGGCCAAGGUCCUGCGCUGGGUGAGCACAGAUCCCCUCGGCAGUGACCGGAUUCCUGGACCAAACAGCUGACUCCCAACAGGAAUCAUCCUGUGUGCACUGGAGUUAAACCUGAAUCCUGCACCCUUCCGGACUGACAAUGGGAGUGCUUUGAGAUCAGAACGUCACCCUCCCUAUCCCCGAGUUAAUUAUUAGGGGGAUUUUUGCAUUUAAUUUAAAAAUGAGUUUAACUUCGCCUCAAAUACUGUUUUUCAGCCUAAUUGAAA
Empidonax traillii (willow flycatcher) is the source of this 553-nucleotide long non-coding RNA. RefSeq lists it as uncharacterized. Lineage: Eukaryota; Metazoa; Chordata; Aves; Passeriformes; Tyrannidae. The record is from RefSeq and is a predicted model, not a curated record. The transcript is spliced from 2 exons.